RNAcentral lists this ribosomal RNA (450 nucleotides) under uncultured bacterium. Its description in RNAcentral is "bacterial SSU rRNA". It matches the Rfam family "Bacterial small subunit ribosomal RNA", at positions 330 to 794 of the family's 1533-position model. The record is from RNAcentral.
UCCAGACUCCUACGGGAGGCAGCAGUGGGGAAUAUUGGGCAAUGGGCGCAAGCCUGACCCAGCAACGCCGCGUGAAGGAAGAAGGCUUUCGGGUUGUAAACUUCUUUUAAGAGGGACGAAGGAAGUGACGGUACCUCUUGAAUAAGCCACGGCUAACUACGUGCCAGCAGCCGCGGUAAUACGUAGGUGGCAAGCGUUAUCCGGAUUUAUUGGGUGUAAAGGGCCUGUAGGCGGGAGCGCAAGUCAGAUGUGAAAACUCAGGGCUCAACCCUGAGCCUGCAUUUGAAACUGUGUUUCUUGAGUGCUGGAGAGGCAAUCGGAAUUCCGUGUGUAGCGGUGAAAUGCGUAGAUAUCAGGAGGAACACCGGUGGCGAAGGCGGCUUACUGGACCAUAACUGACGUUGAGGCUCGAAAGCGUGGGGAGCGAACAGGAUUAGAUACCCGCGUAAA